CAGACGGCUCAGUAACACGUAGUCAACCUAACCCAUGGAGGGGGAUAAUCUCGGGAAACUGAGGAUAAACCCUCAUAGAUAAUGGUGCCUGGAAUGGCCCAUUGUUGAAACAGUUUACUGCCGUGGGAUGGGACUGCGGCCUAUCAGCUUGUUGGUGAGGUAAUGGCCCACCAAGGCUAUAACAGGUACGGGCUCUGAGAGGAGAAGCCCGGAGAUGGGUACUGAGACACGGACCCAGGCCCUAUGGGGCGCAGCAGGCGAGAAACCUUAGCAAUGUGCGAAAGCACGACUGGGUCAGUCCGAGUGAUUUCUGAUAAAGGAAUCUUUUGCCCGUCCUAAAAGCACGGGCGAAUAAGGGGUGGGCAAGUCUGGUGUCAGCCGCCGCGGUAAUACCAGCACCUCGAGUGGUCAGGACGAUUAUUGGGCCUAAAGCAUCCGUAGCUGGUUUUGCAAGUCUCCGGUUAAAUCCACCUGCUCAACAGAUGGGCCGCUGGAGAUACUACAAGACUAGGGAGUGGGAGAGGCAGACGGUACUCGGGGGGUAGGGGUAAAAUCCUCUGAUCCUUUGAAGAACACCGGUGCCGAAGGCGGUCUGCCACAACACGUUUGACAGUGAGGCAUGAAAGCUGGAUGAACACACC
This 641-nucleotide ribosomal RNA is filed under the name uncultured archaeon. Its description in RNAcentral is "bacterial SSU rRNA". It matches the Rfam family "Archaeal small subunit ribosomal RNA", at positions 82 to 725 of the family's 1478-position model. The record is from RNAcentral.